RNAcentral lists this long non-coding RNA (735 nucleotides) under Taeniopygia guttata (zebra finch). RNAcentral describes it as "lncRNA (ENSTGUG00000018940.1)". Lineage: Eukaryota; Metazoa; Chordata; Aves; Passeriformes; Estrildidae. The record is from RNAcentral.
UUUCCCUCAGGGUGACACGGGAAGCUCCAUUUCCCUCAGGGUGACAAGGGAAGCUCCAUGGAAGCUCCAUUUCCCUCAGGGUGACAAGGGAAGCUCCAUGGACGCUCCAUUUCCCUCAGGGUGACAAGGGAAGCUCCAUGGAAGCUCCAUUUCCCUCAGUGGAAGCCGGCGCACCAGGAGUCAGGAAGGGAGAUCGCUUCAGCACCUGCCACAUUCUCUGGCAUUCGUAAGAAGAAUCUACAUCAUGAACUGAAGACACAAUCUGGAGGAAAUGAUAGAGAUGGAGAAGGACCAGCUAUAAAUAUCAGAAGGUUCACACCAGAACAGUGAGGAAAAGGCAGAUGUGGUUGUAGAGCAUGUCCAGCAAGCUGCCUGAGAUGAAGAGCUCCUCUGAGGCUGCUCCUGAGCUGCUCCUGGGUCAGUUCACUCUGCCAGCCUCAUGUUCACUGCUGUGUGCAGAGGUUCAGGUGCUCUUUCCUCUCUGCUCCACGGAGAUCUCUUCCCAGCAGGAAGCCUGAGCAGGCCCAGGCUAUCAUCAGCUGAUUUAACACAGAUUCAGUUCAGAUCAACACUUAGCUUUCCAUUCAAUAAACACAGUCAUCCUGUGGGACUUGGCUCUUGCAGUGAAACCACAGAUCCAGAAGAGUGUGGGAGUCCAGCUCAGGGAACAGCAUCUUUUGGGACCAUUGAACAACAGGUAAGAAACAUGUCUGCUGUUCUGGAAAAUGAUUAUUG